Molecule: long non-coding RNA, 855 nt
Organism: Siniperca chuatsi (mandarin fish)
Lineage: Eukaryota; Metazoa; Chordata; Actinopteri; Centrarchiformes; Sinipercidae
Exons: 4
Source: RefSeq, a predicted model, not a curated record
AAAGAAUUAUCUUAGUCUUUCUUGACCCAUCAUAUCUGCUGAUGGCUGCCAAAAAGACCAAAUUACACAAAGCUCCAAUCAAAUUUAAACAUUCAUCAUUGCUUUCAUAUUUCAGUUUGUAUUUAUCAAUUUUAUGACAACAUUAAUUAAAGUUAGCAGCUAACUUAGCGGUCCUAUUAGCUGACUCAGUCAAGAAUGGGCACCAGAACGGGCAACGGAACCGGGAUCAGCAGACUCCCAGUGAACACGGACAGACCGGGACCGACAGAGGCCAGUUUGUUGACAGGGAAUACAAUCACAAUACGAGAUGAUUUACAGCGGCUCAACCAGGACGAGAGAGGACUGAAAGGGGGGUCGUGCAUCAGAGAGGCAGCAACAGCGCGUAGAGCCAGAAUAUUUUUCACAUCUAACGCGGAUUAAAGAUUUAAUUCCACCAAACCAGAGUUGGGGAUUGUUGGAACAGUUUAAAGACUAACCAAGACGAUUUUGACUAAAAAAGCUAAGAGAGCUUGUGUAACGUAGCGAACUUGCUGCUGGCACACAUCUCCCAGCUAGAACUACCUGAGCUGUACUGUCGGACUAUCGCCUCUUGAGGCACAAGUGGUAUUACAACACAGGACGGGCCGGGGCUAGCAGGGCCCCUGACUCUCCAGUGCAGGAAACAGUGUGUGGUUUUUGUAUUAGGGUUUUUCACUGUGAUGGCUGGGGGACACAGUGAUAUAGAUCCAUACAAAAACCUAAGAGCAGUAAUCUGACACUCUCCCUUUCUUGUGAUGGAAAAAAAGGACAGGACAAAAUAUUUCUCAUUGGAAUAUGAGGACGACACUAGGAUAUAAAACUGACCAGGAUUUCUGU